Molecule: ribosomal RNA, 605 nt
Filed under: Escherichia coli
Lineage: Bacteria; Pseudomonadati; Pseudomonadota; Gammaproteobacteria; Enterobacterales; Enterobacteriaceae
Description: partial 23S ribosomal RNA
Rfam family: Bacterial large subunit ribosomal RNA
Source: RNAcentral
AUUCUGUAGCAAGGUUAACCGAAUAGGGGAGCCGAAGGGAAACCGAGUCUUAACUGGGCGUUAAGUUGCAGGGUAUAGACCCGAAACCCGGUGAUCUAGCCAUGGGCAGGUUGAAGGUUGGGUAACACUAACUGGAGGACCGAACCGACUAAUGUUGAAAAAUUAGCGGAUGACUUGUGGCUGGGGGUGAAAGGCCAAUCAAACCGGGAGAUAGCUGGUUCUCCCCGAAAGCUAUUUAGGUAGCGCCUCGUGAAUUCAUCUCCGGGGGUAGAGCACUGUUUCGGCAAGGGGGUCAUCCCGACUUACCAACCCGAUGCAAACUGCGAAUACCGGAGAAUGUUAUCACGGGAGACACACGGCGGGUGCUAACGUCCGUCGUGAAGAGGGAAACAACCCAGACCGCCAGCUAAGGUCCCAAAGUCAUGGUUAAGUGGGAAACGAUGUGGGAAGGCCCAGACAGCCAGGAUGUUGGCUUAGAAGCAGCCAUCAUUUAAAGAAAGCGUAAUAGCUCACUGGUCGAGUCGGCCUGCGCGGAAGAUGUAACGGGGCUAAACCAUGCACCGAAGCUGCGGCAGCGACACUAUGUGUUGUUGGGUAGGGGAGCG